CCCUUCUCCAGUUUCAUUGGGCACUGGAACCUUGCAAGAUAUGAAAUUCCGGGACACAACCCCUCCUCCCUCAGCACACUUCCUGUCCCUGAGCCUUGAGAGGUGGCUUUGAGCUAAAGGUAUCGUGAGGCUUGAGAACUGAGGCAGGAGUGAGGGAGCGGGGAGUCACACCACAAGGAGAGAUGGCCAGCGGAGUACAAUGCCACACCAGAGGGGAACGGAACCAAACGCUGAAGGGACCUUCUCAAGAUCACUGAAGAGCAGAAUCGCAACUAGAAAGGGUACUUAUUCUUAAGAUCAAGAAGCGUGAAGUCAAUUAUUUCUGUCCUUUGUGGUAAAUGUACACCUUGGACAAUGCCAGCAUCAACUGGAACACUAAGGAUCUUCCCUAUAUAUUCUCGUCUGAGGGAUUGGUAAUGAGAUAUGGACUUGUUUAGAUUCUCCUGAGUAAAUUACUGGAAGUCAGUAGCAUCUGAAGGUUGAGGUCAUCACAGAGUCAUCCUUAACUGUCAGUGCAGUUCCCAGCUGAGAAAGGCCUAAAUCAGGAACCAGCACCUCCUGUGGCAUCUAGACAAUCAACUAAAUCAAGCCCUGAUUCACAGCAUUUGCAGCAUUCUAUGGUAUAAAUAAUCCCACUACGAUCAAUUCUGAGCUCCCAAAUGUGCCAUCACUUAGCAGGAAGUUGGGAAGAG
This 692-nucleotide long non-coding RNA is filed under the name Equus caballus (horse). RNAcentral describes it as "lncRNA (ENSECAG00000053631.1)". Lineage: Eukaryota; Metazoa; Chordata; Mammalia; Perissodactyla; Equidae. The record is from RNAcentral.